Molecule: long non-coding RNA, 547 nt
Organism: Dendronephthya gigantea
Lineage: Eukaryota; Metazoa; Cnidaria; Anthozoa; Malacalcyonacea; Nephtheidae
Exons: 3
Source: RefSeq, a predicted model, not a curated record
AAAAUUAGGCUUUUUAAUAUAUUAAGCUUAAAUGAAGUACUUAGCAAAGCGUAAAGCGCGAAGGUGUUCAUGGGAAGAUUGCGCCCUGGGGAGCGCCUGGCAGAUCUUGUUCGAUUUCUUGCAAUAAAAGUCGAUUUCUUGCAAAUCAUCUAAAUUCACGUCGUUUCGCAACUUUUUCCGCUUUUAUUCGCUUUUAUUCACAAAAUAAUAUCUCCUUCAUUACAAUAAACAUUCAUUCGCCAUGUGAGAAGUGGUAAAUAUUUUUAUCUGAUGCCCUGAAGCAGCAAUAUGUCAUCAUUUGAAGAGGUCGACAAUGUUUUGGAUAGAUUAAAUCUUCAAGACGAACCAAGAGCUGCUCGUCGAUCAGCACGACGUAUUGCAUGCAAUUUUCAACGACCCUCAUCGCCGGAUGCUUCACAAGGUCAAAGCUUAAAACACGACUUGACGCCAAAGUCGAAAAGUGCGGGCCUGCCAAAAAGUAAACGUACUCACGUUUCAAGUAAACAAACAAGGUGCAACCUCGAGGUUUUUUAUGAUAAAGAGCCAC